UACGGGGGGGGCUAGCGUUAUUCGGAAUUACUGGGUGUAAAGGGCGCGUAGGCGGCCUUGCCAGUCAGGUGUGAAAUCCCUCGGCUCAACUGAGGAACUGCGCUUGAUACUGCAAGGCUUGAGUACAGGAGAGGUGGGCGGAAUUCCCGGUGUAGCGGUGAAAUGCGUAGAUAUCGGGAAGAACAUCGGUGGCGAAGGCGGCUCACUGGACUGUAACUGACGCUGAGGCGCGAAAGCGUGGGGAGCGAACGGG
Molecule: ribosomal RNA, 253 nt
Filed under: uncultured bacterium
Lineage: Bacteria
Description: partial 16S ribosomal RNA
Rfam family: Bacterial small subunit ribosomal RNA
Source: RNAcentral